UACGGAGGGGGCUAGCGUUGUUCGGAAUUACUGGGCGUAAAGCGUACGUAGGCGGCUUUGUAAGUCAGGGGUGAAAUCCCGAGGCUCAACCUCGGAACUGCCUUUGAUACUGCAAAUCUCGAGUCCGGAAGAGGUGAGUGGAAUUCCUAGUGUAGAGGUGAAAUUCGUAGAUAUUAGGAAGAACACCAGUGGCGAAGGCGGCUCACUGGCCCGGUACUGACGCUCAUGUGCGAAAGCGUGGGGAGCAAACAGG
RNAcentral lists this ribosomal RNA (253 nucleotides) under uncultured bacterium. RNAcentral's name for it is "partial 16S ribosomal RNA". It matches the Rfam family "Bacterial small subunit ribosomal RNA", at positions 524 to 776 of the family's 1533-position model. The record is from RNAcentral.